GACGAAGGGGGCAAGCGUUGUUCGGAAUUACUGGGCGUAAAGGGCGCGUAGGCGGUCUUGUUAGUCAGGCGUGAAAGCCCUGGGCUUAACCUAGGAUGUGCGCUUGAUACUGCGAGGCUUGAGUGUGGGAGAGGUUGGUGGAAUUCCCAGUGUAGAGGUGAAAUUCGUAGAUAUUGGGAAGAACACCGGUGGCGAAGGCGGCCAACUGGACCACAACUGACGCUGAGGCGCGAAAGCGUGGGGAGCAAACAGG
This 253-nucleotide ribosomal RNA is filed under the name uncultured bacterium. Its description in RNAcentral is "partial 16S ribosomal RNA". It matches the Rfam family "Bacterial small subunit ribosomal RNA", at positions 524 to 776 of the family's 1533-position model. The record is from RNAcentral. RNAcentral also lists the same sequence under 1 other name.